AGAGUUUGAUCAUGGCUCAGAUUGAACGCUGGCGGCAGGCCUAACACAUGCAAGUCGAACGGUAACAGGAAGCAGCUUGCUGCUUCGCUGACGAGUGGCGGACGGGUGAGUAAUGUCUGGGAAGCUGCCUGAUGGAGGGGGAUAACUACUGGAAACGGUAGCUAAUACCGCAUAAUGUCGCAAGACCAAAGAGGGGGACCUUCGGGCCUCUUGCCAUCGGAUGUGCCCAGAUGGGAUUAGCUUGUUGGUGGGGUAACGGCUCACCAAGGCGACGAUCCCUAGCUGGUCUGAGAGGAUGACCAGCCACACUGGAACUGAGACACGGUCCAGACUCCUACGGGAGGCAGCAGUGGGGAAUAUUGCACAAUGGGCGCAAGCCUGAUGCAGCCAUGCCGCGUGUAUGAAGAAGGCCUUCGGGUUGUAAAGUACUUUCAGCGGGGAGGAAGGGAGUAAAGUUAAUACCUUUGCUCAUUGACGUUACCCGCAGAAGAAGCACCGGCUAACUCCGUGCCAGCAGCCGCGGUAAUACGGAGGGUGCAAGCGUUAAUCGGAAUUACUGGGCGUAAAGCGCACGCAGGCGGUUUGUUAAGUCAGAUGUGAAAUCCCCGGGCUCAACCUGGGAACUGCAUCUGAUACUGGCAAGCUUGAGUCUCGUAGAGGGGGGUAGAAUUCCAGGUGUAGCGGUGAAAUGCGUAGAGAUCUGGAGGAAUACCGGUGGCGAAGGCGGCCCCCUGGACGAAGACUGACGCUCAGGUGCGAAAGCGUGGGGAGCAAACAGGAUUAGAUACCCUGGUAGUCCACGCCGUAAACGAUGUCGACUUGGAGGUUGUGCCCUUGAGGCGUGGCUUCCGGAGCUAACGCGUUAAGUCGACCGCCUGGGGAGUACGGCCGCAAGGUUAAAACUCAAAUGAAUUGACGGGGGCCCGCACAAGCGGUGGAGCAUGUGGUUUAAUUCGAUGCAACGCGAAGAACCUUACCUGGUCUUGACAUCCACGGAAGUUUUCAGAGAUGAGAAUGUGCCUUCGGGAACCGUGAGACAGGUGCUGCAUGGCUGUCGUCAGCUCGUGUUGUGAAAUGUUGGGUUAAGUCCCGCAACGAGCGCAACCCUUAUCCUUUGUUGCCAGCGGUCCGGCCGGGAACUCAAAGGAGACUGCCAGUGAUAAACUGGAGGAAGGUGGGGAUGACGUCAAGUCAUCAUGGCCCUUACGACCAGGGCUACACACGUGCUACAAUGGCGCAUACAAAGAGAAGCGACCUCGCGAGAGCAAGCGGACCUCAUAAAGUGCGUCGUAGUCCGGAUUGGAGUCUGCAACUCGACUCCAUGAAGUCGGAAUCGCUAGUAAUCGUGGAUCAGAAUGCCACGGUGAAUACGUUCCCGGGCCUUGUACACACCGCCCGUCACACCAUGGGAGUGGGUUGCAAAAGAAGUAGGUAGCUUAACCUUCGGGAGGACGCUUACCACUUUGUGAUUCAUGACUGGGGUGAAGUCGUAACAAGGUAACCGUAGGGGAACCUGCGGUUG
RNAcentral lists this ribosomal RNA (1522 nucleotides) under metagenome. RNAcentral's name for it is "bacterial SSU rRNA". It matches the Rfam family "Bacterial small subunit ribosomal RNA". The record is from RNAcentral.